AUUGAACGCUGGCGGCGUGCUUAACACAUGCAAGUCGAUCGGUAACAGGUGUAGCAAUACAUGCUGACGAGAGGCGGACGGGUGAGUAAUGCUUGGGAAUCUGCCUAUUAGUGGGGGACAACCCGGGGAAACUCGGGCUAAUACCGCAUACGCUCUACGGAGGAAAGCCGGGGACCGCAAGGCCUGGCGCUAAUAGAUGAGCCCAAGUCGGAUUAGUUAGUUGGUAGGGUAACGGCCACCAAGGCGACAAUCCGUAGCUGGUCUGAGAGGACGACCAGCCACACCGGAACUGAGACACGGUCCGGACUCCUACGGGAGGCAGCAGUGGGGAAUAUUGGACAAUGGGGGCAACCCUGAUCCAGCGACGCCGCGUGGGUGAAGAAGGCCUGCGGGUUGUAAAGCCCUUUCGGUGGGGAAGAAAAGUCUCGACCUAAUACGUCGGGACCUUGACGUAACCCACUAAAGAAGCACCGGCUAACUCUGUGCCAGCCGCCGCAGUAAG
This 502-nucleotide ribosomal RNA is filed under the name uncultured bacterium. RNAcentral's name for it is "bacterial SSU rRNA". It matches the Rfam family "Bacterial small subunit ribosomal RNA", at positions 29 to 524 of the family's 1533-position model. The record is from RNAcentral.